This 318-nucleotide ribosomal RNA is filed under the name Escherichia coli. Its description in RNAcentral is "bacterial LSU rRNA". It matches the Rfam family "Bacterial large subunit ribosomal RNA", at positions 2630 to 2925 of the family's 2925-position model. Lineage: Bacteria; Pseudomonadati; Pseudomonadota; Gammaproteobacteria; Enterobacterales; Enterobacteriaceae. The record is from RNAcentral.
UUCGGUCCCUAUCUGCCGUGGGCGCUGGAGAACUGAGGGGGGCUGCUCCUAGUACGAGAGGACCGGAGUGGACGCAUCACUGGUGUUCGGGUUGUCAUGCCAAUGGCACUGCCCGGUAGCUAAAUGCGGAAGAGAUAAGUGCUGAAAGCAUCUAAGCACGAAACUUGCCCCGAGAUGAGUUCUCCCUGAGACUUAGAGUCUCCUGAAGGAACGUUGAAGACGACGACGUUGAUAGGCCGGGUGUGUAAGCGCAGCGAUGCGUUGAGCUAACCGGUACUAAUGAACCGUGAGGCUUAACCUUACAACGCCGAAGCUGUU